This 140-nucleotide small nuclear RNA is filed under the name Fukomys damarensis (Damara mole-rat). RNAcentral describes it as "U4 spliceosomal RNA". The record is from Rfam by way of RNAcentral. Lineage: Eukaryota; Metazoa; Chordata; Mammalia; Rodentia; Bathyergidae.
AGCUUUGCAAAGUGGUAGUAUCAUAACCAAUGAGGUUUAUCCAAGGUGCAAUUAUUGCUAUUAGGAAUUUAACUUCUCAGACAACCAUCACUGGUUAAAAAAAAUAUUAGUUUUCUGGCCAUACUUUACAUUUCACAGUG